GGGAUAUUUAAAUUAUUUUCAAAAGUUCAAGUUUCUGACAUUUGCAUGAUGGUCCUUCAAGAUAUUCAAGAUAGAAUUGAAUUUGGAUCCUCUAAGAUAAUAAAUGAUUGCUUUAACAGGAUAAACAAUCAGGAUAAAAUACUGAGUCUUACACAUAGUUCUGGAGCUCCAUCCUUUAAUAUUCUGGUUGAUUCCACCAUGGAUGUUAGUCACUGGGGAGCUUUAAAAAUGGCCAUUGCCAAAAAUAUUUCAUGUGAUUUAGUGCAUUAAUUCAAACUAAUUUAACUAAGUUUCUGUUAAAAAUAAAUAAUUUUUUUAACAUUCUUGACAAUUAUUGGUUGAUUAUUAUAUAAUGGAAUUCACUCCAGACCCAACUGUAAAUUGUUUACAUCUCUG
RNAcentral lists this long non-coding RNA (396 nucleotides) under Androctonus crassicauda. The record is from RNAcentral. Lineage: Eukaryota; Metazoa; Arthropoda; Arachnida; Scorpiones; Buthidae.